RNAcentral lists this transfer RNA (74 nucleotides) under Phycisphaerae bacterium. RNAcentral's name for it is "tRNA-Val". It matches the Rfam family "tRNA". From Rfam's summary of the family: Transfer RNA (tRNA) molecules are approximately 80 nucleotides in length. Lineage: Bacteria; Pseudomonadati; Planctomycetota; Phycisphaerae. The record is from RNAcentral.
GGGCGAUUAGCUCAAUCGGCUAGAGCGCCUGCCUUACACGCAGGAGGUCGCAGGUCCGAAUCCUGCAUCGCCCA